RNAcentral lists this ribosomal RNA (429 nucleotides) under Chloroflexota bacterium. RNAcentral describes it as "Chloroflexi bacterium partial 16S ribosomal RNA". It matches the Rfam family "Bacterial small subunit ribosomal RNA", at positions 355 to 776 of the family's 1533-position model. Lineage: Bacteria; Bacillati; Chloroflexota. The record is from RNAcentral.
UAGGGAAUCUUCGGCAAUGGACGAAAGUCUGACCGAGCAACGCCGCGUGAGUGAAGAAGGUUUUCGGAUCGUAAAACUCUGUUGUUAGAGAAGAACAAGGACGUUAGUAACUGAACGUCCCCUGACGGUAUCUAACCAGAAAGCCACGGCUAACUACGUGCCAGCAGCCGCGGUAAUACGUAGGUGGCAAGCGUUGUCCGGAUUUAUUGGGCGUAAAGCGAGCGCAGGCGGUUUCUUAAGUCUGAUGUGAAAGCCCCCGGCUCAACCGGGGAGGGUCAUUGGAAACUGGGAGACUUGAGUGCAGAAGAGGAGAGUGGAAUUACAUGGGUAGCGGUGAAAUGCGUAGAUAUAUGGAGGAACACCAGUGGCGAAGGCGGCUCUCUGGUCUGUAACUGACGCUGAGGCUUGAAAGCGUGGGGAGCAAACAGG